GAUGAACGCUGGCGGCGUGCCUAACACAUGCAAGUCGAACGAAGCUUGACGGAUGAUUUCUUCGGAAUGAAACCUGAUAUGACUUAGUGGCGGACGGGUGAGUAACACGUGAGCACCCUGCCUUUCAGAGUGGGAUAACGGCUGGAAACGGUCGCUAAUACCGCAUGACGUGUUCGAAUGGCAUCAUCUGAACAUCAAAGAUUUAUCGCUGAAAGAUGGGCUCGCGUCUGAUUAGAUAGUUGGUGGGGUAACGGCCUACCAAGUCUACGAUCAGUAGCCGGACUGAGAGGUUGAACGGCCACAUUGGGACUGAGAUACGGCCCAGACUCCUACGGGAGGCAGCAGUGGGGAAUAUUGCACAAUGGGGGAAACCCUGAUGCAGCAACGCCGCGUGAAGGAUGACGGUUUUCGGAUUGUAAACUUCUUUUCUUAGUGACGAAGACAGUGACGGUAGCUAAGGAAUAAGCAUCGGCUAACUACGUGCCAGCAGCCGCGGUAAUACGUAGGAUGCAAGCGUUAUCCGGAUUUACUGGGUGUAAAGGGAGCGCAGGCGGGACUGCAAGUUGGAUGUGAAAUACCGUGGCUUAACCACGGAACUGCAUCCAAAACUGUAGUUCUUGAGUGAAGUAGAGGCAAGCGGAAUUCCGAGUGUAGCGGUGAAAUGCGUAGAUAUUCGGAGGAACACCAGUGGCGAAGGCGGCUUGCUGGGCUUUAACUGACGCUGAGGCUCGAAAGUGUGGGGAGCAAACAGGAUUAGAUACCCUGGUAGUCCACACUGUAAAC
RNAcentral lists this ribosomal RNA (783 nucleotides) under uncultured bacterium. Its description in RNAcentral is "bacterial SSU rRNA". It matches the Rfam family "Bacterial small subunit ribosomal RNA", at positions 28 to 807 of the family's 1533-position model. The record is from RNAcentral.